Long non-coding RNA from Chinchilla lanigera (long-tailed chinchilla), 394 nucleotides. RefSeq lists it as uncharacterized. The record is from RefSeq and is a predicted model, not a curated record. NCBI's taxonomy places the organism in Eukaryota, Metazoa, Chordata, Mammalia, Rodentia, Chinchillidae. The transcript has 3 exons.
GGAAGAGUGGGGAGCAGGCGGGGAAAGGCUCUGGGAUCCCAUAUGUUGUGUUUGAGUUGAUGACAAAUCACCAAGGUGCAAAUAUUCAGCAGUCAGCUUUGCAAGAGCUAAGCUAAAUACCCAAGUAAGGGUCUCAGUAAACAGAAAGGAUUUAUAAAGCUUUGGCCUCCACCACGGCAGUGCACCCAGCAGGGAGGAGCUGAUAUUGAGAAGUGGGCGGCUGAAGACAGAACACCGAGUGGAGACCCCUCAGCAUGGAGUUGAGUUUAAAGCCCCGCCAUGCGCCCUGUGAAGACUUCGGUUUCCUGGUCUAUAAAAUGAGGAAGUGGGGGUGAGGGAGGGGGAAAAGAUAACUGAGAUACAUUAUGUGCAUGUACCAAUCCCUUACAGUGAG